GCUGUAGCUUGCCCAUCUCCCGCUCCCACAAUCCGGCGUGAUGGCUGCCGCCGUUCCUGGCGCCGUUUCGCUCUCCCCACUGCUGUCCGUUCUCCUUGGCCUGCUGCUCCUCUCUGCUCCUCAUGGCGCCAGCGGCCUGCACACGAAGGGCGCCCUUCCCUUGGACACAGUCACUUUCUACAAGGUAAUGAGAGCGGGGGGUCGUGCGCAGGUGCAGAUAGGCGCCCGUGGGAGCGCGCGCCCAUGGGGACGUUGGGCCCCGAGAGGUGGCAGCAGGCAGUCCUUAGGGACCAUCCCUAGACAUCCCAUCAUCCUGUAGACCCAGUGUGGACAGUGCCGGAGCCCACCCUGACCAUCAGGCAUCGUUCCCUUCUGC
This 376-nucleotide long non-coding RNA is filed under the name Rattus norvegicus (Norway rat). RNAcentral describes it as "long non-coding RNA NONRATT007553". The record is from RNAcentral. Lineage: Eukaryota; Metazoa; Chordata; Mammalia; Rodentia; Muridae.